UGGGGAAUAUUGGACAAUGGGCGCAAGCCUGAUCCAGCCAUGCCGCGUGAGUGAUGAAGGCCUUAGGGUUGUAAAGCUCUUUCACCGGUGAAGAUAAUGACGGUAACCGGAGAAGAAGCCCCGGCUAACUUCGUGCCAGCAGCCGCGGUAAUACGAAGGGGGCUAGCGUUGUUCGGAUUUACUGGGCGUAAAGCGCACGUAGGCGGAUCGAUCAGUCAGGGGUGAAAUCCCAGGGCUCAACCCUGGAACUGCCUUUGAUACUGUCGAUCUGGAGUAUGGAAGAGGUGAGUGGAAUUCCGAGUGUAGAGGUGAAAUUCGUAGAUAUUCGGAGGAACACCAGUGGCGAAGGCGGCUCACUGGUCCAUUACUGACGCUGAGGUGCGAAAGCGUGGGGAGCAAACA
This 402-nucleotide ribosomal RNA is filed under the name uncultured Rhizobiaceae bacterium. RNAcentral's name for it is "bacterial SSU rRNA". It matches the Rfam family "Bacterial small subunit ribosomal RNA", at positions 355 to 774 of the family's 1533-position model. The record is from RNAcentral. Lineage: Bacteria; Pseudomonadati; Pseudomonadota; Alphaproteobacteria; Hyphomicrobiales; Rhizobiaceae.